RNAcentral lists this ribosomal RNA (441 nucleotides) under uncultured bacterium. Its description in RNAcentral is "partial 16S ribosomal RNA". It matches the Rfam family "Bacterial small subunit ribosomal RNA", at positions 338 to 795 of the family's 1533-position model. The record is from RNAcentral.
CCUACGGGUGACAGCAGUAGGGAAUUUUGCGCAAUGGGCGAAAGCCUGACGCAGCAACGCCGCGUGAGUGAUUAAGCCCUUCGGUGUGUAAAGCUCUGUCAGUGGGGAAGAAACUUGACGGUACCCACAGAGGAAGCACCGGCUAACUCCGUGCCAGCAGCCGCGGUAAUACGGAGGGUGCAAGCGUUGUCCGGAAUCAUUGGGCGUAAAGAGUUCGUAGGUGGCAUGUUAAGUCUGGUGUUAAAUGCCAAGGCUCAACUCCUGUUCGGCAUUGGAUACUGGUAAGCUUGAGUGCGGUAGAGGUAAAGGGAAUUCCUGGUGUAGCGGUGAAAUGCGUAGAUAUCAGGAGGAACAUCGGUGGCGUAGGCGCUUUACUGGGCCGUAAUUGACGCUGAGGCACGAAAGCGGGGGUAGCAAACGGGAUUAGAUACCCUUGUAGUC